UCAGUUGCUAAAGUCUUCUUAAAAAAACCCACUCAGCAGGUGUGUAAGGCAGGAGAGGAUGUCUUUGAAGGGAAGAGAACACCACUGCUCCCUUUUCCAUUAACACUGGAUCUGUCCAAGGUUAGCCAGGGAGCUUUCCAGCCCCAGUCUGUAAAAUGCAUCCUGACAUAACUGGCUAAAUUCCCACCAGCUCAUUAAACUCCACCUAUAUUCAAAAGGAAAACUCCAGCAAUCAGCAAUGGGAAACAGCCCCAAGAACAUCCCCUGGCCUGUCAUGAGCCAAAUUAAAUGGCAAAACUGAUCAUCUCAAAAACAUUUCAGCUAUUACAAGUCUCAGUGGACCUGGAUGCAAAACUGAAAGCAACUUCCCAAACAGCCCACAGGGAAACUUUGGGAAGGUAUCCCACCACCUCUAAAUAGAGCUAAAGCAUGAAAUGACCACCACAACAGAGGGAAGGAGAUCCAGGACUCUACCUUGGUUCUCUGAACAGAGGCUGAGCCAUUCAUUAAACUGCUUAAGGAAACAGUUUUGCAAGAGAUGUCGAAAGAAUUAUAUCUAACAGGAGUUUCUUGCACACUGUGGGAAUUAGAAGCCACUCCUACCAAAAUACAAGGAAUGUUUCAACACAACAGAUCUAUUGCUUGAGCACAGCCUGUAGCAGAUAAGGGAAAAUAUCCCUAAUUUCUCUUCUCGUUUGAAUUCCUGCUCCAAGAUGGUAGGAGGAACAAAAAAUUAAAAUCAAUUGUUCUUGGUUUCUUAGUUAAGACAAGACAAUGGCUAAGGCAUAACACAGAAUUAUUAGGGAAGAAAGGGAAAGGCAGCUGGAAUAUAGAUCCAGAGAGGAAACAGAGCAUUUAAUCCAACUACAAGAAAGCGUGAUUUUUUUUUUCCUCAAAACCUAACACAGUGUCUGAAGAAAAACACAUUUGCAUAUUUAUCUGGAAAACAACUGAUUAAAUAGUUAAGAAAUGUAAUAACAACUCACCUGUCUGCACAUCUAUAACCAUCUGAUGGCCACCUCUCAUGCCUGGCCGACUGUCUUCCCCGUCACCUUCAGAAAAAAAGGGAAGGGAGUUUUCCAUUGUAAAAUUUUUAAACCAAAGAAAGACACAGCCUCAACAUGGAAGCAAAGGAAUUGAGUAACUCACCCUUCUUUAAAAACUUGCACAUCACUUUUUCCAGUUAAGGAUGCUGCUACAAGUCUCCUCUCAAGGCAGACAGGAAUGGAAAAGAUUCUGCAGUUUGGAUGUACUGUGUAAGAGAUCAAGACUUCAAAAGAUCCACCUCAUUUAAAAUACUCCCUGUUAAGAUAAUGUAUUUAUUUGCCAACUCUCCACUUGAAGUUGAAGCUACAUCAACUCCUUGUGCUAAAUCCAGUAACACAGUGUUCCUUACUCAACCAGAGAGCAGGCUGAAUUUCACUGAAUUUGCAGACAAAUGCAACUUUUUCGGAGAAGAAACCAUUCCCUAGAACUCUCCUAGAGGAGACUUUCUUGCAUCAUUUUCUUGCUCCACAUUCUCAAAGGAACAAGACAGAACUGGCACUACACGAGCUCUAUCUUAAGAAAUGUCCUUACCUUUGGUGCUUUUGGGGAUAAUCUGCCCCCAGCGAGGCUGCACUUGUCAAGAUAUGACACUUCUCCCCUACUGUGCCUUCAGCCUCUUUUAAUAAUGCUUCUUGUCUUCCGUGGGACAUCGGUUUGGAAAUACUCCAGCUUGCUUCCCAGAAAUGUUUCCUUCUGCUGGAAGCAGUUCCACAUUCACUCUACUUACACUGCAAACCAGCAGCAGCUUGUUUUGGAAGCUGAAUCACCACCUGUCUGACACCACCAGGGAAAAAAAAGGAGGAUUUCUAGGUGGAUUCUGUACCCGACGCCAGACCUACGCCAGCGCACUCCUUAUGUUCCUUGUCAGGAGAGCACUGCUGACCAAAAGGUCUCCAAAGCUCCUGUGAGGCACUGAGGAUCAGAUCUAGGCCUGCUCAGGUCUGUCAGCUGUUCCCAAUGAAUCAGGAGUUUAAAAUAAAUUUCGAGACUCUUGUCAAAAAUAAAAAAAAUUAAAAAAAGGUGUCAGGUGGAAGUUUUUAAAUGAAAUGUUUUCUUUUGCUCCGGAGACCUCUCACUUCAAUGUCCACGUUUACUAAAAUUACAGCCAAAAAAACGACUUGUAC
Parus major (Great Tit) is the source of this 2171-nucleotide long non-coding RNA. RefSeq lists it as uncharacterized. Lineage: Eukaryota; Metazoa; Chordata; Aves; Passeriformes; Paridae. The transcript has 5 exons. The record is from RefSeq and is a predicted model, not a curated record.